This 454-nucleotide ribosomal RNA is filed under the name uncultured bacterium. Its description in RNAcentral is "partial 16S ribosomal RNA". It matches the Rfam family "Bacterial small subunit ribosomal RNA", at positions 28 to 507 of the family's 1533-position model. The record is from RNAcentral.
GAUGAACGCUGACAGAAUGCUUAACACAUGCAAGUCAACUUGAACUUCGGUUUGGGUGGCGGACGGGUGAGUAACGCGUAAAGAACUUGCCUCACAGCUAGGGACAACAUUUGGAAACGAAUGCUAAUACCUGAUAGUAUGAUUAUAUGGCAUCGUAUAAUUAUGAAAGCUAUAUGCGCUGUGAGAGAGCUUUGCGUCCCAUUAUCGAGUUGGAGAGGUAACAGCUCACCAAGGCGAUGAUGGCUAGCCGGCCUGAGAGGGUGAUCGGCCACAAGCGGACGGGGACACCACCCUUACGCAUACGGGCGGCAGGAGUGGGGACCAUUGGACACUGGACCGAGAGUCUGAUGCAGCACUUCUGUGUGCACGAUGAAGUUUUUCGGAAUGUACAGUGCUUUCAGUUGGUAAGAACAAAAUGACGGUACCAACAGAAGAAGUGACGGCUAACUACGUG